CUGGGUUCAAUCCCCAGUUUUUUUUUAAAAGGAAUGAGACAGAGAAGAUUGGCAAGGCCCCUGCACAAGGAUGGCAUGAAAAUUCAUAGAGCCUUUCAUAAUUUUA
Molecule: small nuclear RNA, 106 nt
Organism: Sciurus carolinensis (gray squirrel)
Lineage: Eukaryota; Metazoa; Chordata; Mammalia; Rodentia; Sciuridae
Source: RefSeq, a predicted model, not a curated record